UGCUACAUGACACGUCUUGCAAGAAAAUAAAGGACUACUCUUGCGCCAUUAUAAUACUCAAGUGGCGAAUGACGGGGUGGGGCGCGCAGUGAACUGGUUUUCUAAAAAGAUUGGAAGAUCCGGCCAAAAAAGGUGAUAGCCCUGUUCAUUCGUUCCCAUGGUUCGAUCCUUCCCAGUAAAACGCGGCGUGUUCGAAUGAUGAUCGCUUUUAUGCGAGAAAGGGGGACCACCUUCUAAGCCUAAGUAUUCCUCAAUGACCGAUAGCGUACAAGUACCGUGAGGGAAAGGUGAAAAGAACCCCAAUUGGGGAGUACAAUAUAGAACCUGAGAUCUGAUGCGAACAAUCAGUCGAAGGAGCGAAGCACGCUGAAUACGAUUCGAUCUCCUGUGCAAUCUAUAAGGAAGCUAAAGGCCUGGCUGGCUCCCGCGUGGAACUCAGCUACAUAGGAGACAGAGGAGAAGGAUUCCAUCAUUGAAAAUACACUUUGGUCCUGGUUGUAUAUGCACCUUAUAUGGAGAUUUUUUUAGUAUUUUAAUAAAAAGUCAAAAUAUGUAAGAACUAUUUUGACCAAACACUUGACUUACUUUUGCACUAGUA
Molecule: non-coding RNA, 598 nt
Filed under: Triticum aestivum (bread wheat)
Lineage: Eukaryota; Viridiplantae; Streptophyta; Magnoliopsida; Poales; Poaceae
Description: Eukaryotic large subunit ribosomal RNA
Rfam family: Bacterial large subunit ribosomal RNA (bases 1-338)
Source: Rfam by way of RNAcentral